UACGUAGGGUGCGAGCGUUAAUCGGAAUUACUGGGCGUAAAGCGUGCGCAGGCGGUGAUGUAAGACCGAUGUGAAAUCCCCGGGCUUAACCUGGGAACUGCAUUGGUGACUGCAUCGCUCGAGUAUGGCAGAGGGGGGUAGAAUUCCACGUGUAGCAGUGAAAUGCGUAGAUAUCUGGAGGAACACCGGUGGCGAAGGCGGCAUCCUGGACCGGUAUUGACGCUGAGGCGCGAAAGCCAGGGGAGCAAACGGG
Molecule: ribosomal RNA, 253 nt
Filed under: uncultured bacterium
Lineage: Bacteria
Description: partial 16S ribosomal RNA
Rfam family: Bacterial small subunit ribosomal RNA
Source: RNAcentral